GAUGACGGGAGCUUGCUCCUUGAUUCAGCGGCGGACGGGUGCGUAAUGCCUAGGAAUCUGCCUGGUAGUGGGGGACAACGUUUCGAAAGGAACGCUAAUACCGCAUACGUCCUACGGGAGAAAGCAGGGGACCUUCGGGCCUUGCGCUAUCAGAUGAGCCUAGGUCGGAUUAGCUAGUUGGUGAGGUAAUGGCUCACCAAGGCGACGAUCCGUAACUGGUCUGAGAGGAUGAUCAGUCACACUGGAACUGAGACACGGUCCAGACUCCUACGGGAGGCAGCAGUGGGGAAUAUUGGACA
This 299-nucleotide ribosomal RNA is filed under the name Pseudomonas sp. Its description in RNAcentral is "partial 16S ribosomal RNA". It matches the Rfam family "Bacterial small subunit ribosomal RNA", at positions 68 to 370 of the family's 1533-position model. The record is from RNAcentral. Lineage: Bacteria; Pseudomonadati; Pseudomonadota; Gammaproteobacteria; Pseudomonadales; Pseudomonadaceae.